This 312-nucleotide long non-coding RNA is filed under the name Gossypium raimondii (Peruvian cotton). Its description in RNAcentral is "long non-coding RNA (GRAI_LNC006658)". Lineage: Eukaryota; Viridiplantae; Streptophyta; Magnoliopsida; Malvales; Malvaceae. The record is from RNAcentral.
UUGAGAAAAAUGAUGGGGUUGAGGAAUGCAAAAAAGAACAUAACCUAGUGGUCAGAGAAUACAAACUACCAAUUCCAUAUCUGGUAAAGUUGAAGAAAGACCGCUGUAAUACCCAAUUUUUUCCCCGGGCCCAAUCUAAAACCCAAAAUAAAUAAACCCACUAAUUUAACCCAAUUACAAUACAACCCAAAUAGCCCAAUUACAGAAACCCAAACCCAUAUUAAAAAAAAUAUAAAAAAAACCUAGCUUAAGAAGCAGUAAGCUUCAGCCGCACGCCCAACAGCAGCCUCCCUAACUGCCGCCACAUCUUCC